Spinacia oleracea (spinach) is the source of this 8469-nucleotide long non-coding RNA. RefSeq lists it as uncharacterized. The record is from RefSeq and is a predicted model, not a curated record. NCBI's taxonomy places the organism in Eukaryota, Viridiplantae, Streptophyta, Magnoliopsida, Caryophyllales, Amaranthaceae. The transcript is spliced from 11 exons.
UUUGUUUUUUUCAAAAGCUUAAAACCCCAACCCUUCGAUAAAAACCCCCCAUAGACAUACCAGUAACACUUCUAUAAAAUAAUCCAUAGAAGAAGGUGGAGCAGCAGCGAUUUGAUUAGUUUAUUUGAGCAAUUAAGAAAUUGGAAUGUACCCAAUUUUUCAGAACCGAGGAAGAAGAUCAAGUUCUUGUUCUAUAUACAUCCAUUAUACAACACUCCUGACUCCUCUAUGUAAUUUUAUUUAGGUAGUCAACGAUGUCCAAAUGCAAGUUUUGCUUUCGGAAAUCUGUUGGAGAGACAUCACCGUGACUACAGUUGGCUAUCCCACUUAGCAAUGGAGCUCCGUCACCUGAAGAAAUAUAUUGGAAAACUAAAGUAGGCGAUAUCCGUAUUUCAAAACCUUUGAAAGAUAGCUUGCAUCUGGGUAAACUUUUGAAUCAAAUUAAAUCUAUCAUAGUCUCACAAAGUAACUCAUAGUUUCACUUCUUGUUAUCUUUUUUGUUUAUGUACAAGUAGUAAUUACAAAUAAAUAUUUUUAUGAAUAAUAUUGGUGUGACUUUUUUAUACUUUUGAAAUUUUGACUUUUUGAUUUUUGAACUCACCUAAAAAAGGUUUUUUAUUUUAAAAAAAAAUUACUAUAUAAUAUAUUUUUCUAAAUCUAAAUUUUAGUCAAACUAAACAUAGACUAUUUUGUCCAGUGUAUUACAAACUUUAAUUUUAUUUUGUUCUCUUUUGUAAGACCAAUAGAAAGAGUUGUGAAACUCAACUUGAAUUACAAGCAGGAUUUUGGUACACAUGAAGCCCUAUUGUAUGUUUGUAUGUUUGGGGAGGACAAGUUAAAAAAACUCAAAUUCCGCAAGAUGGUCGAGUGAUAUAUUUCAAAGAUGAUAUAUUGUCAAAAGUCGGAGUUAAAAUGAAGUUGCACUUCAAGAAAAAUCAAUAAUGAAGCAAGUUUUUGCCGUUGCAUGUUGCGAAAAUAAUGUCUAUUACAUCGGACAAAUUUCAAGUGAUCCUAAAUCUUCUUUCUGUGGAUCCUUAAUCCAUUUUAGCUCAAGAUAUAUUAAGUUGAUGAUGAAAAAUUGUGAAGAAAAAGGUGUCAAAGGUGAGAUAAGGAAUUGUGCUAAUUCAUUGGAAGGUAUUGUUGUUACGUCACUAUUAAAUUUUGGGGAAAAAAAGUUGGUCGUGGCGUCCACGGAGGAGAAUUAUGGUAUCCUUUUGGAAUACACUAUUCAAAAAGUACAACUUUUAUGAAGUCACAGUAUGGUGUGACAUAAAAUAAGGAAUUCAUUUGCUGUGUUUUUUUGUCAUAGCAUAAAGAAUAUUGAUUUAUACAAUGUUUAUUUGGUUCGCGCUAACGGAAAGCAAACGGCGGCAUUUGCAAUUUGUCAUAAGGACACUUCUUUUUGGAAUCCAAGACAUUAUCCAUUUGAGUUUCUUAAGACCAAGCCGGGUGAAAGCCUAUAUGUCAUUUUGUCUGUGCAGAAGCAAUAGUUUGGUAUAGGCUGCCAAAAAAUAAAGGCGAGGAAUAAGAAUUGUGUUUUAAGUAUAAACACCAAGCUGGGUGAGAAUCAUAUAUGUCAUUUUGUUUAUGUUGAAGCUCUACAUAUCGUAUAAUAAUUCUUAUUUAUUAUAUAUGAUAUGUAGUGCUUAUUAUAUAUUAUAUAUGAUGUGUAUAAUCCCUUUUUUUUCAUUAACAUAAAUAAUUCAUAUUUAUUACUUCUUCCGUUCAUUUUUACUCGCAACGUUUGUUACUUUCACACAUGUCAAAGCACAACUUUGAUAUUUAAUUCUUUUUAAGCAAAAAUUAUAAAAAGUUAAUAUUUUGAUAAUACACUAAGACGAAUCUAAAAAGAUCCCAAAUGACUUUGUUUUAUCUUACGUAUAAAUCACCAAUAAUGGUCAAAUUAUAAUAUUGUGAAUAGUGUAGAAAUCAUAAACGUUGCAAUUAUUAAAAAUUGGAGGAAGUAUAUCAUAUGUAGAGCUUCUACACAAACACAAUGACAUAUAUGUUUCUCACCCAGCUUGGUGUUUAUGCUUAAGACACACUUCUUAUUCCUCGCCUUUAUUUUUUGGCAGCCUAUACCAAACUGUUGUUUCUGCACAAACAAAAAGAUAUGUAGUCUUCCCACCCGGCUUGGUGUUAAUAAACUCUAAGGCAUAAUGUCUUGGAUUCCAAAAAGAAGUGUCCUUAUGACAAAUUGCAAAUGCCGUCGUUUGCUUCCUGUUAGUGCGAACCAAAGAAACAUUGUAUAAAUCAAUAUUCUUUAUGAUAUUACAAAGAAACACAACAAAUGGAUUCCUUAUUUUAUGACACACCACACUGUGACUUCCUAAUAGUUGUACUUUUUGAAUAGUGUAUUCCAAAAUGAUACCAUAAUCCUUCUCCGUGGAUGCCACGACCAACUUUUUUUUUCCAAAAUAUAAUAGUGACGUAACAUAGUCAACCAUACAUUCCAAUGAAUUAACACAAUUUCUUAUCUCACCUUUGACACCUUUUUCUUCACAUUUUUUCAUCAUCAACUCAAUAUCUUGAGCUAAAAUGGAUUUAGGAUCACUUGAAAUUUGUCCGAUGUAGUAUACAUUAUUUUCGCAACAUGCAACGGCAAAAACUUGGCUUAAUUAUUGAUUUUCUUGAAGUGCAACUUCAUUUUAACUCCGACUUUUGACAAUAUAUCAUCUUUGAAAUAUACCACUCGAACAUCUUGCGGAAUUUGAAUUUUUUAACUUGUCCUCCCCAAACAUACAAUAGGGUUUCAUGUGUAUUCGAGUUGAGUUUCACAAAUCUUUCUAUUGGUCUUACAAAAGAGGACAAAAUAAAAUUAGAGUUUGUAGUACAGUGGACAGAAUAGUCUAUGUUAAAUUUGACUAAAAAUUAGAUUUAGAGAAAUAAAUUCUAGAGUAAUUUUUUUUUUUUUUAAAAAAAACCUUUUUUAGGUGAGUUCAAAAAUCGAAAAGUCAAAAUUUCAUAAAGUAUACAAAAGUCACACCAAUACUCCCUCCGUAUUUAUUUAAGAGAUACAUUUGGCCGGGUACGGGUAUUAAGAAAAAGAAUUGAAUGAAAUAAAAUAAUAAAGCAAAUGGGUUGGGUAGAUAUUUUAAUAAGUAAAUAAGUGGGGACCAUGUCUUUUUGGUGGGGUUGGAGGUGAGGUGGGUUUAUGAAAUUAUGUUUAAUAGGAUGGUGGGUCAUAGGGUAAAUUAGAUGUAUUAUUUAAUUAGAUGGUGGGGUUGAUAAGUUACUAAAAAUGGCAAUUGUAUCUCUUAAAUAAAUACGGCCGGAAAAGGAAAGUGUAUCCCUUAAAUAAAUACGGAGGGAGUAUUAUUUAUUUGUAAUUACUACUUGUACAUAAACAAAAAGGAUAACAAGAAGUGAAAUUAUGAGUUACUUUGUCAGAUACUCGAGACUAUAAUAGAUUUAAUUUGAUUCAAAAGUUUACCUAGAUGCAAGCUAUCUUUCAAAGGUUUUGACAUAGGGAUAUCGCCUACUUUAGUUUUCCGAUAUAUUUCUUCAGGUGACGGAGCUCCAUUGCUAAGUGGGAUAGCCAACUGUUACAAAAAGAAAUUCAAACGGAUAAAUGAUAAAUAUAUGUUAUGAGAAAUAGCGAAAAUAUCACAAUAUCGAUUUGAUUUUAGGUCGGGGCUCGACAAUUCUCAACAACACUCCAGCAAGGUAGCGGUUGGCGGUGGCAGCUCAAUAGCUAGAUUCUUCCUCUUCUUAAACUUGAGAAAUUGGUGAGUUUUUGAAUUGACAGGUGAAAAGAACUUAGUGAAGGUGAUAGUUCCAGAUAAGUGGAAAGCGGGAGCAAGGAACACUAAAGAAAGUGGUGCCGCGCAAGAUCAAUGAAAACAAGCUCCUUUCCACAUGGUAAAUCAAAUACAAAAGGCUUCAAUUCUAUAAUGGUUCAGUGAUUUCUAGGGUAUAACGCAACUCACGCUUCAAUCUGACAAAUUCUCUCCCCAAUUCCAUAAUUUAUCAGCAACACCCACUAAUCUAUCCUCCCUUCUUUCAACCUUCACAAAUUCUUGUUCUUUAGGACUAAAUGUUGAUGUUAAGAGUGUUCAAAUCAGCAGAAACAAACCUAAUAUUUUUUGUCUAUCAUGGAUGGCCCUCUUUCUUCUGUCAAACUCAUCCUUCAGGGCCGUAAUCUUGAGGUUAUUUCUGAACUUAUCUUUGUAAUAUCUGUGUUCUUUGGGGAAAAUUUGAAGUGGAUUUUGAAUAUUUGAGUAUCUGGGUCGAUUCUGAUUUUGGAAUUGUUGUUCUUUUUAUGCCAUUUUACUGAAGAAAUCUAUGCAAUCUUUUAGCUACGAUGUACUUGUUUGAGUAGGCUUGACAUUUCAAGGUAUGAGAUUGUUCUUAAAUUAAUAAUUGUAUGAUCGUUAAAUGGUUGAGAUUGUUGAAAUCCACUACCAUGGAUUGAAAGCGUUUUCACUCAGUAAUUUGUUGUUUCAGACUUUCAGCAUUGUGAUACAGAAUAAGUGUUCUCAGCACUAAUAUAUGCUAUGCAUUCUACUUCAUGAAUCAUGAGUAUGAGCACUUGAGAAGUUCUCUUAUGUUUAAUCAUCCAGCCUGCAUUCAAGUUGCCAUCGUAUUUUGAAUAGUCUGCAACAAACUUUCUUUAGUUCUUCUAUCUUUACUUCAGGUGUCUAGCAUCCCAGCUCUGAAUGUUCCAUGUUUUAAUAGUUGCUACUAUGAUGAGUAUUAGACUGUUUCAAAUGACCACCUUUGGCACUCCCUGUGCCCCUAUUCAAUAGGCCACUUUCCUAUUUUAAGCCUUCCAAACUAGCAACUUUCUGUGUUCUUAGCAAGGAAUUCAAAGGAAAAUAUUACAUUGAUAUAGUGGAGAUGUAAAAUUUAUUCUUAUCGGAGGAGUAUUUUCUGUAGAUUAUCUCAAUUCUCAUUCAUAUAUCUUCUUAAUGUAAGUUAUGUGCAGUUUGCAGACUUUACACACUUGUAAGAGUUGAUUGAAAGCCUUUUUCUGUACUUGUUUCUGUUUCUUCAGUCAAUUUUUUGUAUGCAUAGAUCUUGUCUCAUGUUCUAUGUACAAUUUUGAAUCAUAAGAUUCUUACCCUACAAUAUAGAUUGAUUUGAGUAAUGUGGGCGACUGAAAUGCAAGUUGUUUUGUUCCAACUAUGAAUAUAUUCUCCAUUCAGAACCAAAAAAGAACCUAAAAUAUAUUCUCCAUUUAGCAACCUUUAGCUGAUUGCUUAUUUGGAAAGGUCAUCUUGUUUCUGGUGUACAUUUUCAAUGAUCCUGAAACUAGGUUGCACUUCCCUGAAAUUUUUGUAACAAUGAUGGUAAUCAUGAUGUUCCAAUAAUUCUUCCUGUUUUAUUUUGAAAACUAAUCAUGGAAUGCCUUUCCCUGGAAUAUAACAUAUGAUUAGUUUUUGGUGCACUUCAAUAGUAGUUUGAUUCGUGUUCUAUGGAUCUUGAGCUUUCUUUUAUUCUAUUUCAGGAUUUGAUUUUUUUUUUCCCUUUGUUUUCUUUAGAACUUUGUUGCUGCAAUGUGCCUAUAAAUUUACUUCUCAUUAUUAAAGAAAAAAAAUUAUAUUCCUUACAAAUUAGUCAGGAGAAGGUCUUCAUUUUGUAUCGCCAUACCCGAAAAGUAGGGGUAUGAAUGAACUGCAUAUUCCAAUCUUGUGACCUCAUUAGACUACGUGGUUUUAGCUUGAAGGAAUUGAUUAUGAAAAAAGAAUUGGGGUUUUGAGAGGGGAAACAAUGAAAAAUAUGAGAUGGGAAGAGUGGGCAGCUAGGUCUUAUAUAGGAUGGUAAAGAUAGCAGUAGUUCUCAUGAUUUGUAAAGUCUGAGAGAGAUCAUGUGGGUUAUGUUCGUGAAUUGUAGUAUUUCUUUCAAGUAUUUACAGCCACUAAACAUUAUUACUACUUUUAACUCUUCAAUGAAUUAUAUAAAUGCACUUGUUACGUGACGUAUUUACACCGUGCAGUUACAUACUUCCUCCGUUCUUAUUUACAUGACACAAUUGGAUUUUGGACACUAUUCACAUAAGUUCCUUUGACUUCCUGUUGUGGUUUGUACUUAAGAAAAAACAUAGUCGUGUGGGGUCUUGUUGGAUUCGUCUCGGUAAAUAUUUUUUAAAUAUCAAAUUUUUAUAAUUUUUCUUAUCUAUAAUUGGAGAUAUUAAGGUUUGAAAUCGUGCAUUGGCAAACGUGCCUAAAUAAUUGUGUCAUUUUAAAAAGAACAGAGGAAGUACAUAAAUUGACAGAUUAUAGUUUCUUAAUGAUUUUCAUGUGAAAAGUAAAAGGUGCUUACAUAAGAGAGAGAGAAAAGGAAGGCGGGGCUAAGAGAGCUCACUUAUUUGGUGAUUGAAAAGUGGUUGAAAAGUUACUGAUGACAAGGUAACUUCUACAAUUACGCUCUGCAAUAGCUAACGGGACAAAGAUAUCACUCAUACAGUUCCACAUAUAUAGAAGCUUAAUGGACUGGAUAAAUUGAAUAGCUGGAUAGUGAAUACUAUCAUAUUUUGCAAAGCAGUUAUUAGGCAUGUGUCACAGCUAAUUUAUAAUUCCUUUGUUCCAAGUACUUGCAAGUUGCAACGCGGGUGGAGGCUCAUGAUUAAGGAGGUCACAUGAUGAGGGACUUUCAACUGGUAAUUUGUGACAUAUUAGUGGUCACUGGAAAAACUCUUAUCACCAAAGAUGUUGCUAAUGAAACUGGAGCGUCUUCUUCUUGAUUAAUGGGCCAGAGAUCAUGUCAAAAAUGGCUGGAGAAGUGAAAGCAAUUUGGGGAAGGUAUUCGAAGAAGCUGAGAAGAAUGCCCCUUCUAUCAUUUUCAUUGAUGAGAUUGAUUCCAUUGCUCCUAAGAGAGAUAAGACAAAAGGUGAAGUUGAAAGGCGACUCGUUUCUCAAUUGCUAACUUUGAUGGAUGGUCUUAAGAGCCGUGCUCAUGUCAUUGUCAUGGGUGCCACCAACCGGCCUAUUAGUAUUGAUCCUGCUCUUAGAAGAUUUGGGAGAUUUGAUCGUGAGAUCGGACAUUGGGAGGUUGGAAGUUCUCGACAUCCAUACCAAGAAUAUGAAACUUGCAGAAGAUGUUGAUCUUGAAAAAGUAUCAAAACUCAUGAUUAUGUAAGUGCAGAUCUUGCUGCUCUUUGCACAGAAAGAGCUCUUCAGUGUAUUAGGGAGAAAAUGGAUGUCAUUGACUUAGAAGAUGAGACAAUUGAUGUUGAGGUGUUAAAAUUCUAUGGCUGUCAUGAAUGAACACUUCCAAACAGCCCUGGGAUCUUCCAACCCAUCAGCCCUGCGUGAAGCAUUUGUGGAGGUUCCUAAUGUUUCAUGGGAAGAUAUUGGUGGAUUGGAAACUGUCAAAAGAGAGUUUCAAGAGGAGCCCUCUUACACCCUUUUUCAAGUUGAUACACGUACUAAAUUUUGGCGUUGUUGGAAGACUGUGCAAUACCCUGUGGAGCACCCAUUAAAGUAAAACAUUGCUUGCAAAGGUAUUUUUCAGGAAAGGAGGUGGAGUGGGGAAUGCAACCUGGAACGAAAUGAUUAUGCAAUGUCAUACAAGUAGUAUUAUUUUGUGAUAAGGGGCACAAUAUUUUCAUUAGAAUUUCAUAAUCGUCAAUAAGUUAAGUUAACUCAAUCAGUGUGGGUGCAUUACAGACUAUAAGGGAUUGUCUGGGGGAAGAUUUGUUUAAACUCAUAGCCUCAGGGCCAAGUUCAGCAUCAGAAAUCAUUAACUACCUGAAUUGAGAUCUGAAAAUGAGGCCCUUGACAUUAUCAAUAAGCUAGAGGCUGCAGCACUAGCAUAGAGAGAAAGAAUCAAACAACAAGUCAUUCGCAUCAAGACUCAUGUCCGAACCUCUUGGCCCUUUAUGAAGGAGCUAACACCCGAGGUUGGUAAGGCGUAAGCACUGUUGUUUUCAGUAGAUGCACUUCUGUGUCAGUUGAAGAUGAGGUGUCUGUACCUUCCUCACACAUUCCUUAAUGUCAGGGGAAUAUAGUUUGGCAAGGCAUCGAUUCUUGAAGCAUAUUCCAAAGUUUAUGGAAACUUGGCUUUCAGCAUCCUGUCAAGGAUCAGAGGUAGAUAUUCUGCAUGCAAGAAGAUAACUUGAGCAAUCCCAAUUCACAAGUGGCAACUUACUUGACCAGGAUUAAGUAUGAAUGGAAAACCAGAUAGCCCCAUUGCGCACCCAUAUAUAAGGAACUCACUUGUUGAAAGAAUGAACAACGAAGAUAUAUGGAUACUUUAGUGACUCAAACCCCAUCAGACAUUAUGAUUUAGAUAUUUCAUCCGAGUACUGGAAUUGUGGAACGAUGCUUCAAUAUCAAUGACGACACCUAUAUUGUAAACGUGUACUAAGAAAUUUUACGUCUCUUAUGUUGCAUGUUACAAUAACAAUUGUGGAGAGUUUAAUUUUUAAUUUUGUUUGUGGAUGCUACGAUAAUAAUGGCACCUAUAUUGUAAACGUACUUGAAAUUCAUAUUAUCAAUUACAUGCAAAUUGAACUUUUGCAUUGUU